GGACAUGACGUGUGGCUGUCGUAAAAACCCUAUUUGUAAACAACCAGUCCUUUUAACUCGGGGCUGCGUCAUAAACACGGAGCGCUUGGAAGACCACGAUGUCAUCUUCCUUCUGUCAGGAGGAUCAAAGUGAAGCUACAGGAGUUUCAUUAACGUCAACAACUUGGACCGAACAGUUUGUUUUGCUUGAUGAAGAGCAGGAAGGGCAGCCUGGAGAGAAAGAGAAGCCGGGUUGAGCCCACUACCAUCAUCCAUGUACCACGAGGAAGAUGAGGGAGAGAAAUGAUCCUACCGUUAAAGAGACUGUGAAAAGAACGUUGAGAACAUCACCACUCUACAGGAAGACACAGUCCAGUAAUGGGUGUCAGAAGUUCAGUAGUGAACGACAGGCAGUACUGAUGCAUUUACUGAGACGGGACGUGAGGGCCUACUCUGCGUGCUCAGAGUUCAAGCCCAGCAGGCUGCAGCGGGCCUGACAUAUUCUGGAACAGCAGCACAGUCUUUGGAUGACUCCUCUGAAGAUGAAAACAUGGCGAGUUCUUCUCAAGAGAAGCAGUACAGGUGUGCCUCAGCUCCACGGUCCCUCCUGCAGCCUCCGCUCCUGAUGCUAACCUCAUGUCUCCAUCACACCAAGCAGCAGACCUGGAUUGACAGACCUUUCUCCAGAGCUGCCCCCUCCCUCUGAAACCCCCCUCUCCAAAACACUAUUUGUGUAGUUUUUAAAGUAUUUUUUGCAUGAGAAUUGUUGAUCAUAUCAUUUCCAGCAGAUGCCUUAAUAUAAUGUUUGUGCACAAUAAAUGACAUUGAUCAUAACAUAAUGGUAUUUCCUUGCACUUCUACACCAUGAUAUUGGCAGAUAAGAUGCUGAUUACAUUAAAGCAGUGAAUGCUCUUCUUUAAGCAACAUAAACAAACAAUGAUCCAAUGGAUCUGAAGUAGAAUGGGCACAUUACAUUCUGUAGAGAAUGCCUCAGUUAUGGAAGUCAGAAAAUAACUUUCUUUAUCUGAGGUUCCAGUCAUUUAUAGUCACAG
This is a long non-coding RNA of Pleuronectes platessa (European plaice), 1031 nucleotides long. RefSeq lists it as uncharacterized. Lineage: Eukaryota; Metazoa; Chordata; Actinopteri; Pleuronectiformes; Pleuronectidae. The record is from RefSeq and is a predicted model, not a curated record. The transcript has 5 exons.